This 483-nucleotide ribosomal RNA is filed under the name uncultured bacterium. RNAcentral describes it as "bacterial SSU rRNA". It matches the Rfam family "Bacterial small subunit ribosomal RNA", at positions 28 to 526 of the family's 1533-position model. The record is from RNAcentral.
GAUGAACGCUGGCGGCGUGCUUAACACAUGCAAGUCGAGCGAUGAAGUUUCCUUCGGGAAACGGAUUAGCGGCGGACGGGUGAGUAACACGUGGGUAACCUGCCUCAUAGAGUGGAAUAGCCUUUCGAAAGGAAGAUUAAUACCGCAUAAUAUUGAGAGAUGGCAUCAUCACUCAAUCAAAGGAGCAAUCCGCUAUGAGAUGGACCCGCGGCGCAUUAGCUAGUUGGUGGGGUAACGGCCUACCAAGGCGACGAUGCGUAGCCGACCUGAGAGGGUGAUCGGCCACAUUGGGACUGAGACACGGCCCAGACUCCUACGGGAGGCAGCAGUGGGGAAUAUUGCACAAUGGGGGAAACCCUGAUGCAGCAACGCCGCGUGAGUGAUGAAGGUUUUCGGAUCGUAAAGCUCUGUCUUUGGGGAAGAUAAUGACGGUACCCAAGGAGGAAGCCACGGCUAACUACGUGCCAGCCGCCGCCGUAACAC